UCCCCAGUGGCGCAAUUGGUUAGCGCGCGGGUACCGAGGAUGCCGAGGUUGUGAGUUCGAUCCUCACCUGGGGAA
RNAcentral lists this transfer RNA (75 nucleotides) under Nephila pilipes (giant wood spider). RNAcentral describes it as "tRNA-Leu". It matches the Rfam family "tRNA". From Rfam's summary of the family: Transfer RNA (tRNA) molecules are approximately 80 nucleotides in length. Their secondary structure includes four short double-helical elements and three loops (D, anti-codon, and T loops). Lineage: Eukaryota; Metazoa; Arthropoda; Arachnida; Araneae; Nephilidae. The record is from RNAcentral.